CCUACGGUGGCUGCAGUGGGGAAUAUUUGACAAUGGGCGAAAGCCUGAUCCAGCCAUGCCGCGUGUGUGAAGAAGGCCUUCGGGUUGUAAAGCACUUUCAGUGGGGAAGAAAGCCUUGGGGCUAAUACCCUCGAGGAAGGACAUCACCCACAGAAGAAGCACCGGCUAACUCCGUGCCAGCAGCCGCGGUAAUACGGAGGGUGCGAGCGUUAAUCGGAAUUACUGGGCGUAAAGCGCGCGUAGGCGGUCUGAUAAGCCGGUUGUGAAAGCCCCGGGCUCAACCUGGGAACGGCAUCCGGAACUGUCAGGGUAGCGUGCAGGAGAGGAAAGUAGAAUUCCCGGUGUAGCGGUGAAAUGCGUAGAGAUCGGGAGGAAUACCAGAGGCGAAGGCGGCCUUCUGGACUGACACUGACGCUGAGGUGCGAAAGCGUGGGUAGCAAACAGGAUUAGAUACCCCAGUAGUC
RNAcentral lists this ribosomal RNA (464 nucleotides) under Vreelandella stevensii. Its description in RNAcentral is "partial 16S ribosomal RNA". It matches the Rfam family "Bacterial small subunit ribosomal RNA", at positions 338 to 795 of the family's 1533-position model. Lineage: Bacteria; Pseudomonadati; Pseudomonadota; Gammaproteobacteria; Oceanospirillales; Halomonadaceae. The record is from RNAcentral.